RNAcentral lists this ribosomal RNA (505 nucleotides) under uncultured bacterium. RNAcentral describes it as "partial 16S ribosomal RNA". It matches the Rfam family "Bacterial small subunit ribosomal RNA", at positions 28 to 507 of the family's 1533-position model. The record is from RNAcentral.
GACGAACGCUGGCGGCGUGCCUAAUACAUGCAAGUAGAACGCACAGUUUAUACCGUAGCUUGCUACACCAUAAACUGUGAGUUGCGAACGGGUGAGUAACGCGUAGGUAACCUGCCUGGUAGCGGGGGAUAACUAUUGGAAACGAUAGCUAAUACCGCAUAAUAUUAAUUAUUGCAUGAUAAUUGAUUGAAAGAUGCAAUUGCAUCACUACCAGAUGGACCUGCGUUGUAUUAGCUAGUAGGUGAGGUAACGGCUCACCUAGGCGACGAUACAUAGCCGACCUGAGAGGGUGAUCGGCCACACUGGGACUGAGACACGGCCCAGACUCCUACGGGAGGCAGCAGUAGGGAAUCUUCGGCAAUGGACGAAAGUCUGACCGAGCAACGCCGCGUGAGUGAAGAAGGUUUUCGGAUCGUAAAGCUCUGUUGUAAGAGAAGAACGGGUGUGAGAGUGGAAAGUUCACACUGUGACGGUAUCCUACCAGAAAGGGACGGCUAACUACGUG